RNAcentral lists this ribosomal RNA (440 nucleotides) under Arctic sea ice bacterium AWS-4U1. RNAcentral describes it as "bacterial SSU rRNA". It matches the Rfam family "Bacterial small subunit ribosomal RNA", at positions 396 to 833 of the family's 1533-position model. The record is from RNAcentral. Lineage: Bacteria; Pseudomonadati; Bacteroidota.
GCCGCGUGCAGGAAGACUGCCCUAUGGGUUGUAAACUGCUUUUAUACAGGAAGAAACCGCUCUACGUGUAGAGCUCUGACGGUACUGUAAGAAUAAGGAUCGGCUAACUCCGUGCCAGCAGCCGCGGUAAUACGGAGGAUCCAAGCGUUAUCCGGAAUCAUUGGGUUUAAAGGGUCCGUAGGUGGAUAAUUAAGUCAGGGGUGAAAGUCUGCAGCUCAACUGUAGAAUUGCCUUUGAUACUGGUUAUCUUGAGUUAUUAUGAAGUAGUUAGAAUAUGUAGUGUAGCGGUGAAAUGCAUAGAUAUUACAUAGAAUACCAAUUGCGAAGGCAGAUUACUAAUAAUCAACUGACACUGAUGGACGAAAGCGUGGGGAGCGAACAGGAUUAGAUACCCUGGUAGUCCACGCCGUAAACGAUGGUUACUAGCUGUUCGGACUUCG